Long non-coding RNA from Anser cygnoides (Swan goose), 1745 nucleotides. The record is from Ensembl. Lineage: Eukaryota; Metazoa; Chordata; Aves; Anseriformes; Anatidae.
GCGGGGGCACACGCGUGUGCAGCCUUGCACACACGUUGCACACGUAUGGCCUGUGGUUGUGCACAGGCGUGCAAGUGUUACGGCCGUGCACAGACGUGCGGACGUGUGUUCACGUGUCCUGCAGCUGUGCAUGGAUGUGUGCGCACACACGUGUGCACGUGCACACGCGUGUGCACCCCCACCCUCUCUGCAUGCUCCCCCUCCCCACCCCGUGUCCCCUCCUGUGUCCCCCCCGCGUGUCCCCCGGCUGGUGCACACGCUGGUGCCCCAUGGCUGGGCUGGCACAAGCGUGUGCAAGGCACGUGCACGCCCCGUGUGCUCGUGUGCAGCGCUUGUGAGCGUGCGGGUGUGCACGGGGCUGAGUGUGUUUGCUGGGGGGGGGGGGGUGAGUGUGCACGGGGCUUUAGGUGUGUGGUUGUGCACGGUGCUCUGGUGUCUGCGCGUGCACGGUGGGUGCUGGGUGUGCGCUGGGUGUGCGCUGGGUGUGCAUUGGGUGUACUGGGUGUGUACGGGGUGCGCUGGGUGUGUGCUGGGUGCCCUGAGUGUGCACUGGGUGUGCCCUGGGUGUGCCGAGUGUGCACUGGUUGCAUGUUGGGCGCCCACUGGAUGUACGUUGGGUGCCCUGGGUGCGCGCUGGGUGCCUUGGGUGCCCACUGGGUGUACGUUGCGUGGCCUGAGUGUGCCCUGGGUGUGUGCUGGGUGCCCUGAGUGUGCCCUGAGUGUGCACUGGGUGUGCACUGGGUGUGCCGAGUGUGCACUGGGCGCGCUGAGUGUGCACUGGGUGCGUGUUGGGUGCACACUGGAUGUAUCUUGGGUGCCCUGGGUGUGUACUGUGUGCCCUGGGUGCUCACUGGGUGUAUGUAGGGUGCCCUGAGCGUGCCCUGAGUGUGCACUGGGUGUAUGUUGGGAGCCCUAAGUGUGCACUGAGUGUGCCCUGGCUGUGCCGAGUGUGCACUGGGUGCGUGUUGGGUGCCCUGGGUGCAUGCUGGGUGCCCUGGGUGCCCACUGGGUGUACGUUGGGUGCCCUGAGUGUGCCCUGGGUGUGUGCUGGGUGCCCUGAGUGUGCACUGGGUGUGCACUGGGUGUGCCGAGUGUGCCCUGAGUGUGCUCUGGGUGUGUGCUGGGUGCCCUGAGUGUGCCCUGGCUGUGCACUGGGCGUGCCGAGUGUGCCCUGAGUGUGCUCUGGGUGUGUGCUGGGUGCCCUGAGUGUGCCCUGGCUGUGCACUGGGCGUGCCGAGUGUGCACUGGGUGCGUGUUGGGUGCGCACUGGAUGUACGUUGGGUGCCCCCAGCGUGCCCUGAGUGUGCACUGGGUGUGCACUGGGUGUGCACUGGGUGUGUGCUGGGUGCCCUGAGUGUGCCCUGGGUGUGCCGAGUGUGCACUGGUUGCAUGUUGGGCGCCCACUGGAUGUACGUUGGGUGCCCUGGGUGCGCGCUGGGUGCCCCGGGCGCCCGCCGGGUGUACGUUGGGUGCCCCGAGCGUGCCCUGAGUGUGCCCUGGGUGUGUGCUGGGUGUGUGCUGGGUGCCCUGAGUGUGCCCUGAGUGUGCACUGGGUGUGCACUGGGUGUGCUGAGUGUGCACUGGGUGUGUGUUGGGUGUGCACUGGAUGUACGUUGGGUGCCCUGGGUGUGUACUGUGUGCCCUGGGUGCUCACUGGGUGUAUGUAGGUUGCCCCGAGCAUGCCCCGAGUGUGCACUGGGUGUAUGUUGGGUCCCCUGGGUGUGUGCUGGGUGCCCUGAGUGUGC